CUAGUGGCAGGAGUCAGCAUUGCCCUUGCAUUGCUUUGUAUUCUUAUCGUUGCUAUUUUUUGGUAUGCAUGGAAAAAAUCACAGGAAGGUUCCAUUGAACUCAAUCCCAUCCCCUACGGUGAGGCUGGAGUGUCCUUACGGAACGUGCCGGGGCCUGAGAGCCAGCAGGAGUGGCCUUUUCAGAGAGCAGGGCAGUGACAGCAGGAGAGUGCUGCACCACCCUCUGGCAGGACAGAAAAGCCCUCUUGGUUAUAGAUAGUUAAACAGCACUCUCAAAAGAGCUGUAUCUACAAAAAAAAAAAAAGUUACAUUCUUGAAGUUAUAAAUGCCCUCAUUAGGGAAAAUGCCACACUCUUAGACUAUUUUCUAAUAAAUUAAACCUGCACGGGGCACCACCGCUGUUGAGAUUAGCUGGAAUGGCCACUGUUUGUGCUUGUAUACCUGUGAAUUUCCUAAUGGAAAUGGCUCCUGGAGGGUUUUAGCUACCAAAAUCUGGUUUGGGCCACAACUAGUUUACCAGCAUAAACAUUGCUAUUCUAGUGCCUGGGAAUUUCCUAGGAAUUGUUUCAUUUGCUAGUCUAAAUAUUGUUAUCAUUUACAGUUUAUUUUAAAUUACACAGUUGAUACACCCAGCCACUCAUGGUCAGGGAUUGUUCAAAGAUGACCACUGCAAACCUUUGCUUGCUCAUUGUGCUGCUCAGGGGAAGAAGUAGUGGAAGAAUGACAGUAUCAUCCAAUAAAAUUCAGGUUUCCGGGCUUAACUGAGUAUUAAAUUUAGAAUAAAUUUAAUAAAAAUCAAGAGUCACUCUUGCACUGUUUCUUCCCCUGACUGAAGAUUUAAGAAUGAGGUAAUUGUAUGUAUUUUAUGUGUAGCAUAUUAUUUAGGGUCGGAGAGUUUGGCUAAAUCUGUUCCCUAUAUGUUUUUUUUUAAUGUGCAUCUCCUGUUUUUCUUUCAUUUAAUAGAAAUUUUGUAAGUGCUUAAAUGUUUUUUUAGAUAUUAGAUCAAGAGUGCCCUGGCAACAAAGAGCAUUAGUUGAAUGCAGAGGAAAUAAGAAUAACAAAUAUUUGUGAGGAACAAUUCAUAUAAACUAUGUUUACAGUGCUUUUUAAUUGAUGUUUGUAAGCCUCCUUGUGAAUAACGUUGCUUUUGAAAAUGCAUUCAGAGUGGUUGUAUUUUAUUUCUGAGCUCUUACAGAACUUGUGUGCUAGAAAUAAUAUUUGUUAUUUGGUGUUCACGUUGGUUAUUGCACUGUUGAAGACGUUUGUGAUUGCUGCAAAUGUUUUGCUCUACCUUGGGUG
Molecule: non-coding RNA, 1299 nt
Organism: Sturnus vulgaris (Common starling)
Lineage: Eukaryota; Metazoa; Chordata; Aves; Passeriformes; Sturnidae
Source: RefSeq, a predicted model, not a curated record